CUAACAUGCAAGUCGAACGAUGAACCACUUCGGUGGGGAUUAGUGGCGAACGGGUGAGUAACACGUGGGCAAUCUGCCCUGCACUCUGGGACAAGCCCUGGAAACGGGGUCUAAUACCGGAUACUGACCACUGGGGGCAUCUUCAGUGGUCGAAAGCUCCGGCGGUGCAGGAUGAGCCCGCGGCCUAUCAGCUUGUUGGUGAGGUAGUGGCUCACCAAGGCGACGACGGGUAGCCGGCCUGAGAGGGCGACCGGCCACACUGGGACUGAGACACGGCCCAGACUCCUACGGGAGGCAGCAGUGGGGAAUAUUGCACAAUGGGCGAAAGCCUGAUGCAGCGACGCCGCGUGAGGGAUGACGGCCUUCGGGUUGUAAACCUCUUUCAGCAGGGAAGAAGCGAAAGUGACGGUACCUGCAGAAGAAGCGCCGGCUAACUACGUGCCAGCAGCCGCGGUAAUACGUAGGGCGCGAGCGUUGUCCGGAAUUAUUGGGCGUAAAGAGCUCGUAGGCGGCUUGUCACGUCGGUUGUGAAAGCCCGGGGCUUAACCCCGGGUCUGCAGUCGAUACGGGCAGGCUAGAGUUCGGUAGGGGAGAUCGGAAUUCCUGGUGUAGCGGUGAAAUGCGCAGAUAUCAGGAGGAACACCGGUGGCGAAGGCGGAUCUCUGGGCCGAUACUGACGCUGAGGAGCGAAAGCGUGGGGAGCGAACAGGAUUAGAUACCCUGGUAGUCCACGCCGUAAACGGUGGGCACUAGGUGUGGGCAACAUUCCACGUUGUCCGUGCCGCAGCUAACGCAUUAAGUGCCCCGCCUGGGGAGUAMGGCCGCAAGGCUAAAACUCAAAGGAAUUGACGGGGGCCCSCACAAGCGGCGGAGCAUGUGGCUUAAUUCGACGCAACGCGAAGAACCUUACCAAGGCUUGACAUACACCGGAAABGUCUGGAGACAGGCGCCCCCUUGUGGUCGGUGUCCAGGUGGUGCAUGGCUGUCGUCAGCUCGUGUNGUGAGAUGUUGGGUUAAGUCCUGCAAAGAGCGCAACCCUUGUCCCGUGUUGCCAGCAGGCCCUUGWGGURCUGGGGACUCACGGGAGACCGYCGGGGUCAMCUCGGAGGAAGGUGGGGAGGGACGUCAAGUCMUCAUGCCCCUUAUGUCUUGGGCUGCACCACGUGCUACAAUGG
Molecule: ribosomal RNA, 1175 nt
Filed under: Streptomyces sp. HGCH06
Lineage: Bacteria; Bacillati; Actinomycetota; Actinomycetes; Kitasatosporales; Streptomycetaceae
Description: bacterial SSU rRNA
Rfam family: Bacterial small subunit ribosomal RNA
Source: RNAcentral